CCUACGGGAGGCAGCAGUGAGGAAUAUUGGUCAAUGGACGAGAGUCUGAACCAGCCAAGUAGCGUGAAGGAUGACUGCCCUAUGGGUUGUAAACUUCUUUUAUAUGGGAAUAAAAUGCUCCACGUGUGGCAUUUUGUAUGUACCAUAUGAAUAAGGAUCGGCUAACUCCGUGCCAGCAGCCGCGGUAAUACGGAGGAUCCGAGCGUUAUCCGGAUUUAUUGGGUUUAAAGGGUGCGUAGGUGGAUUGUUAAGUCAGUUGUGAAAGUUUGCGGCUCAACCGUAAAAUUGCAGUUGAAACUGGCAGUCUUGAGUGCAGUAGAGGUAGGCGGAAUUCGUGGUGUAGCGGUGAAAUGCUUAGAUAUCACGAAGAACUCCGAUUGCGAAGGCAGCCCACUGGACUGCAACUGACGCUGAGGCACGAAAGUGUGGGUAUCAAACAGGAUUAGAUACCCUGGUAGUC
Molecule: ribosomal RNA, 460 nt
Filed under: uncultured bacterium
Lineage: Bacteria
Description: partial 16S ribosomal RNA
Rfam family: Bacterial small subunit ribosomal RNA
Source: RNAcentral